CCCUCUUUUUCGCGCUUUCCUCGGAAUUACUGGGCGUAAAGCGCACGUAGGUGGCGAUGUAAGUCGGGUGUGAAAGCCCCGGGCUCAACCUGGGAAUUGCAUUCGAGACUGCAUUGCUGGAGUACGGAAGAGGAGGGCGGAAUUCCCGGUGUAGCGGUGAAAUGCGUAGAUAUCGGGAGGAACAUCAGUGGCGAAGGCGGCCCUCUGGUCCAGUACUGACACUCAAGUGCGAAAGCGUGGGGAGCAAACAGGA
RNAcentral lists this ribosomal RNA (253 nucleotides) under uncultured prokaryote. Its description in RNAcentral is "partial 16S ribosomal RNA". It matches the Rfam family "Bacterial small subunit ribosomal RNA", at positions 525 to 777 of the family's 1533-position model. The record is from RNAcentral.